UAUUCGAAAGAAAUAAUCAACAAAGAAAAAUUGGUUUAAAGUAAACAAAAGUGUGGUUAAUAUCAGCAAAUCAUUGUAGAAAAUAUCAACAAUGGCAUUGUUUGUAUUAAACAAAAAUCACUUUGAUUUCUUUUCAAGUUUGAAUUUGGUAAUAUUAACAAAUUUUUAGUUAAU
Long non-coding RNA from Rhagoletis zephyria (snowberry fruit fly), 174 nucleotides. RefSeq lists it as uncharacterized. Lineage: Eukaryota; Metazoa; Arthropoda; Insecta; Diptera; Tephritidae. The record is from RefSeq and is a predicted model, not a curated record.